RNAcentral lists this ribosomal RNA (623 nucleotides) under Scedosporium boydii. RNAcentral's name for it is "eukaryotic LSU rRNA". The stretch from base 221 to 374 matches the Rfam family "5.8S ribosomal RNA". Lineage: Eukaryota; Fungi; Ascomycota; Sordariomycetes; Microascales; Microascaceae. The record is from RNAcentral.
AAAAAAAAAAACGACAAGGUCUCCGUUGGUGAACCAGCGGAGGGAUCAUUACAGAGUUACUACUCCAAACCCAUUGUGAACCUUACCUAUGUUCUGUUGCCUCGGCGGCGUGGUCAGCGCCCCCUCUGAAAAGAGGACGAUGCCCUCCCGCCGGCAGCACCAAACUCUUUGAAUUUUACAGCGGAUUACAGUUCUGAUUUGAAAACAAAAAACAAGUUAAAACUUUCAACAACGGAUCUCUUGGUUCUGGCAUCGAUGAAGAACGCAGCGAAAUGCGAUAAGUAAUGUGAAUUGCAGAAUUCAGUGAAUCAUCGAAUCUUUGAACGCACAUUGCGCCCGGCAGUAAUCUGCCGGGCAUGCCUGUCCGAGCGUCAUUUCAACCCUCGAACCUCCGUUUCCUCAGGGAAGCUCAGGGUCGGUGUUGGGGCGCUACGGCGAGUCUUCGCGACCCUCCGUAGGCCCUGAAAUACAGUGGCGGUCCCGCCGCGGUUGCCUUCUGCGUAGUAAGUCUCUUUUGCAAGCUCGCAUUGGGUCCCGGCGGAGGCCUGCCGUCAAACCACCUAUAACUCCAGAUGGUUUGACCUCGGAUCAGGUAGGGUUACCCGCUGAACUUAAGCAUAUAA